Molecule: ribosomal RNA, 767 nt
Filed under: uncultured bacterium
Lineage: Bacteria
Description: bacterial SSU rRNA
Rfam family: Bacterial small subunit ribosomal RNA
Source: RNAcentral
CUAAUACAUGCAAGUCGAACGGUAACAGGCCCGGCAACGGGUGCUGACGAGUGGCGCACGGGUGCGUAACACGUAUGCAACCUACCCUGUACUGGGGGAUAACCCUGAGAAAUCGGGGCUAAUACCCCAUGGUAAUAUAGAUGGGCAUCCAUUUAUAUUUAAAGAUUCAUUGGUACGGGAUGGGCAUGCGCCCCAUUAGUUAGUUGGUGAGGUAACGGCUCACCAAGGCAUUGAUGGGUAGGGGUUCUGAGAGGAUUACCCCCCACACUGGUACUGAGACACGGCCCAGACUCCUACGGGAGGCAGCAGUGAGGAAUUUUCCGCAAUGGACGAAAGCCUGACGGAGCAAUACCGCGUGAAGGACGACGGCCUAUGGGUUGUAAACUUCUUUUCUCAGAAAAGAAUACAUGACGGUAUCUGAGGAAUAAGCAUCGGCUAACUCUGUGCCAGCAGCCGCGGUAAGACAGAGGAUGCAAGCGUUAUCCGGAAUGAUUGGGCGUAAAGCGUCUGUAGGUGGCCCGACAAGUCUUCUGUCAAAGAUCAGGGCUUAACCCUGGAAAGGCAGGAGAAACUAUCAGGCUAGAGAUCGGUAGAGGCAGAGGGAAUUCCCAGUGAAACGGUGAAAUGUGUAGAUAUUGGGAGGAACACCAACGGCGAAAGCACUCUGCUGGGCCGAGACUGACACUGAGAGACGAAAGCGAGGGGAGCAAAUGGGAUUAGAUACCCCAGUAGUCCUCGCCGUAAACGAUGGAUACUAGGUGUUGGAU